CAAAACAGGUACAGCAGAGGCAGCAGCAGUACAAGUUUCCCCAACUUCCUUGCCAACGGGCCUCCAAUCUGACCUGGAAGAACCACUUCUAGG
This 93-nucleotide small RNA is filed under the name Gopherus agassizii (Agassiz's desert tortoise). RNAcentral's name for it is "TUC338 (ENSGAGG00000009641.1)". The record is from RNAcentral. Lineage: Eukaryota; Metazoa; Chordata; Testudines; Testudinidae.